This 756-nucleotide ribosomal RNA is filed under the name uncultured bacterium. RNAcentral's name for it is "bacterial SSU rRNA". It matches the Rfam family "Bacterial small subunit ribosomal RNA", at positions 8 to 796 of the family's 1533-position model. The record is from RNAcentral.
AGAGUUUGAUCAUGGCUCAGAAUCAACGCUGGCGGCGUGCCUAACACAUGCAAGUCGCACGAGAAAGGGGCUUCGGUCCUGAGUAAAGUGGCGCACGGGUGAGUAACACGUGAAUGAUCUACCUCCGAGUGGGGAAUAACUGAGAGAAAUCUUAGCUAAUACCGCAUAACACUUACGAGUCAAAGCAGCAAUGCGCUUGGAGAGGAGUUCGCGGCCGAUUAGUUAGUUGGCGGGGUAAUGGCCCACCAAGACGAUGAUCGGCAUCCGGCCUGAGAGGGCGCACGGACACACUGGAACUGAAACACGGUCCAGACUCCUACGGGAGGCAGCAGUGGGGAAUUUUGCGCAAUGGGGGAAACCCUGACGCAGCAACGCCGCGUGGAGGAUGAAGUAUCUUGGUACGUAAACUCCUUUCGAUGGGGAAGAUAAUGACGGUACCCAUAGAAGAAGCCCCGGCUAACUUCGUGCCAGCAGCCGCGGUAAUACGAGGGGGGCAAGCGUUGUUCGGAAUUAUUGGGCGUAAAGGGUGCGUAGGCGGUUUGAUAAGUCUGAUGUGAAAUCUCUGGGCUCAACCCAGAGUCUGCAUUAGAAACUGUCGGGCUUGAGUAUGGGGGAGGUGAGUGGAAUUUCCGGUGUAGCGGUGAAAUGCGUAGAUAUCGGAAGGAACACCUGUGGCGAAAGCGGCUCACUGGACCAUAACUGACGCUGAGGCACGAAAGCUAGGGGAGCAAACAGGAUUAGAUACCCUAGUAGUCC